GAUGAACGCUAGCGGGAGGCUUAACACAUGCAAGUCGAGGGGCAUCACGAGGUAGCAAUACUUUGGUGGCGACCGGCGCACGGGUGAGUAACGCGUAUGCAACCUACCCAGUACAGGGGGAUAGCCCGGAGAAAUUCGGAUUAAUACCCCAUAAUGAUAUUAAAAGGCAUCUUUUAAUAUUUAAAGUUUCGACGGUACUGGAUGGGCAUGCGUGACAUUAGCUAGUUGGUAGGGUAACGGCCUACCAAGGCUUCGAUGUCUAGGGGUCCUGAGAGGGUAGACUCCCCACACGUGGUACUGAGACACGGACCAGACCUCCGUACGGGAGGCACGU
Molecule: ribosomal RNA, 334 nt
Filed under: uncultured Bacteroidota bacterium
Lineage: Bacteria; Pseudomonadati; Bacteroidota
Description: bacterial SSU rRNA
Rfam family: Bacterial small subunit ribosomal RNA
Source: RNAcentral